CAAGUUUCCAUUCUGUAUCUAUUCUGUGGUAGAAGUAAUUAUUUUGUUCUUAUUACUUUAUACUUACUUCUCUCCUGUGCGUAGUAACCUGCAACACACGUUUUCACAACGCUCACCUAAAGAUUUGAGAUAUUUAAAAUAAAUUUCGCUCUUAAGGAUGGAGGACACGAACCCUCCAACUACGCUUUCAUCCCAGCCAAGCCUGAAAAGCUCACUCUGAGUCGUUGAUAGGUUCAUGAUGACAAAAGUGUCUAGAUUUCAGAUAAUGUUUUUGAAAACGUGACAGCCCUGCAACCCGUGAAAGAAGGGAGGGGGCCUUCCACAUUGCCGAUGAGCUUCAACAUUGUAUGCGAUUUCCAAACUGUGGCUAAACAAAUUUAAAAAUUUCGUCGAGCCCGGUGCAGUUGAAAACGACGAUUUAUUUUGCUUGCUUGCCUCUUGCGUUUACAAGGACCAUAAACAAAUGUCCGUACAAGUUUCAGCUUCUUCAUGGGAUUCCAUUUUGCAAAAAAUGCCAGUCGGAGGGGAAAACCUACGACUUUAUGGCAACUAUAUGCCACAAAGAAGAGAGUACUAAUAGCGGACAUUACAUUUGCUACGCGUUUAAGGACAAAGAAAAAAUCUGGUUUGAAUAUGAUGACAAACGUGUGAUCAAGGUCACAGAUGACAAGCUUGCCAGAAUCACAAGAAAACGUGACAGCCCUGCAACCCGUGAAAGAAGGGAGGGGGCCUUCCACAUUGCCGAUGAGCUUCAACAUUGUAGGCGAUUUCCAAACUAUGGCUAAACAAAUUUAAAAAUUUCGUCGAGCCCGGUGCAGUUGAAAAUGACGAUUUAUUUUGCUUGCUUGCCUCUUGCGUUUACAAGGACCAUAAACAAAUGUCCGUACAAGUUUCAGCUUCUUCAUGGGAUUCCAUUUUGCAAAAAAUGCCAGUCGGAGGGGAAAACCUACGACCUUAUGGCAACUAUAUGCCACAAAGAAGAGAGUCCUAAUAGCGGACAUUACAUUUGAUACGCGUUUA
RNA transcript from Nilaparvata lugens (brown planthopper), 1020 nucleotides. RefSeq lists it as uncharacterized. The transcript has 6 exons. Lineage: Eukaryota; Metazoa; Arthropoda; Insecta; Hemiptera; Delphacidae. The record is from RefSeq and is a predicted model, not a curated record.